GCCCAUCAACGCUCGGCUGCCUCGCCUUGCGACUUGUUCGUGGUGCGGUUCGGCUCGAUGCGGAAAUUGGCCCCCCGAGCCUCUAAGGCGCGGUGUGCUCAAUUGUAAGGCCGUCGGAUGGGGCUGGGUGCGGCGAGUGGUGGUCUGCUGCGCAUGCCGACCCCAAACCCCAUGCCGGAUGAGGGCUUUCACCGACCCCCGAAUGAGGAGGCUGUCCUCUAAGCAUCCUGCUGUGAGGGCAGUCCUCGGACC
RNAcentral lists this unclassified non-coding RNA (252 nucleotides) under Schoenoplectiella juncoides. RNAcentral describes it as "ITS2". The record is from RNAcentral. Lineage: Eukaryota; Viridiplantae; Streptophyta; Magnoliopsida; Poales; Cyperaceae.